RNAcentral lists this ribosomal RNA (102 nucleotides) under Pleurotus tuber-regium. Its description in RNAcentral is "partial 5.8S ribosomal RNA". It matches the Rfam family "5.8S ribosomal RNA", at positions 53 to 154 of the family's 154-position model. Rfam says of the family: 5.8S ribosomal RNA (5.8S rRNA) is a component of the large subunit of the eukaryotic ribosome. It is transcribed by RNA polymerase I as part of the 45S precursor that also contains 18S and 28S rRNA. Lineage: Eukaryota; Fungi; Basidiomycota; Agaricomycetes; Agaricales; Pleurotaceae. The record is from RNAcentral.
AUGCGAUAAGUAAUGUGAAUUGCAGAAUUCAGUGAAUCAUCGAAUCUUUGAACGCACCUUGCGCCCCUUGGUAUUCCGAGGGGCAUGCCUGUUUGAGUGUCA